Molecule: long non-coding RNA, 1225 nt
Organism: Wasmannia auropunctata (little fire ant)
Lineage: Eukaryota; Metazoa; Arthropoda; Insecta; Hymenoptera; Formicidae
Exons: 2
Source: RefSeq, a predicted model, not a curated record
GAAUCAUCUCUCGCGAUGGAUGGGCGUGCGAUUCGUGCGUACGGCGAGGUAAACAGUGUGCCUGAUCAAUCAACCGUAGCAUAAUUCUCGCUCGCCUUGAACCUUGAUCCCGUCGGAUCUGCGUGUCGAAAAACUUUCGAAAGAAUGUCUCACGGGGCUUCGUUCUUGUUUCGCAUUAACGUGUGUUUGCGACCUACUUCCUUACACAACCGUGGAAUUUCACUUGCCAAUGGACGAGGUGGCCGAUAAUGAGUCUCACUGCUCGCGGACGUCACGUUCGAUUUUUUUUUUAUCUUAUCUGGUUAGUAACAGUCGCAAUGGCAGCGCGAAACUUUUGAUUUGCAAAAUUUAUUCCCAAUCAUUCUGCAGGUCUGUUUAAAAUGCAGCUUUUUGCGAUAUAAUGUUUUUGUAGAUACACAGCGUUAUAUGUCUACGAAUGCAAUCUUUCUGGAUUUUUAAAUAUAUUUUUUUGGUGUGUACAACACCGUUUGAAGAAGAUGUCUGUUACAUAUUUUUUAAAAUGUUUGACGACACUACGAUGUCGAAAUUCUAGUUUCGCAAAAAUUACGAGUUUUAAUUACGAUUUUGGCUUCACCACUGACAUCCGCAUCUUUAUUUCGGUCCCGAAAUAUAUGAAUACACGGCUGCACUGAUUUUGAAGUUAAUUUCUCUUCGAUAAUUCGUAUAGAAGAACAUCAUAUCGACGAGAAAAGUGAUCUAGCAUUGCUCGUUAAUGGGAACGAUGAAAACGAGGCCUCGAAAUGUUGGCACACACAACGCGCAACAACUACGAUCGACGACCGCUGAAGGUUCACUGAGACGCGAUUUUACCGGCCGUAGCCGGCCGAGAGACAGUUAAGGCUUUCUAACCCGCGUCUCUUUCCCCACCAUCACGUGCCCUCGUUGUCGUCACGCUCGUGAUAUUGAAAAAUUUAUGAAAGGGUCGCAGGAGUUCGAGCGAUUUGCGAUACAUUAUCAGUGCAGCUACACAAGAUAAUCGAAGAUUAGUAAAUAUAAUGCAUAUGCACUGUACGUGCAAACAAAUUUUGUUAUUUCUUAUUAUCUUCUUAUUCAUUUUUGUUAUUUGAAAAAUUAAAAUUGUUAGAUUAUUUAGAAUGUUUUUAUAAUCAAUCGUUUUGUAAGAAGAGGACGGUCUCUCAUAUUUCCGUAAUUAUAUUCAUUCAUUUUUCUGUAAUUAUAUCUAAUAAAUUUUAAUGAAGCUAUU